RNAcentral lists this ribosomal RNA (253 nucleotides) under uncultured bacterium. Its description in RNAcentral is "partial 16S ribosomal RNA". It matches the Rfam family "Bacterial small subunit ribosomal RNA", at positions 524 to 776 of the family's 1533-position model. The record is from RNAcentral.
UACAGAGGGGGCUAGCGUUGUUCGGAAUCACUGGGUGUAAAGGGUGCGUAGGCGGUCCGUUAAGUCUGAUGUGAAAGCCCUGGGCUCAACUCAGGAAUGGCAUUGGAAACUGGCGGGCUGGAGUACUGGAGAGGGAAGCGGAAUUCCUGGUGUAGCGGUGAAAUGCGUAGAUACCAGGAGGAACACCAGUGGCGAAGGCGACUUCCUGGCCAAGUACUGACGCUGAGGCACGAAAGCGUGGGGAGCGAACGGG